UGCAGUUCAUUUAAAUAAAAUCUGCAUAGCUCAUUUAAAUAAAAAAAAAUACAAGGGCCAACCAUUUUUUUUUAAAAUGCAGCCCAACAAAAGAAAUAAAUAACCCCAACCCAAUAACUAAAUAAAAAUCGGCCCAGUUGAUUAAAUGAAAAUGGCCCAAUCAGAAUAAAUAAAAAAAAUCUCGGCCCAAAACUAAUUAAAACCCAGCCCAACACUAAUUAAAACCCGGCCCAACACUCAAGCCCACUCCAAAGCCCAACCCUACAU
This 267-nucleotide long non-coding RNA is filed under the name Salvia miltiorrhiza (redroot sage). RNAcentral's name for it is "long non-coding RNA (SMIL_LNC013754)". The record is from RNAcentral. Lineage: Eukaryota; Viridiplantae; Streptophyta; Magnoliopsida; Lamiales; Lamiaceae.